UACAGAGGUCUCAAGCGUUGUUCGGAUUCAUUGGGCGUAAAGGGUGCGUAGGCGGCGCCAUAAGUCAGGUGUGAAAUCUCCGGGCUUAACUCGGAACGGCCAAGUGAAACUGUCAAGCUAGAGUGCGGAAGGGGCAAUCGGAAUUCUUGGUGUAGCGGUGAAAUGCGUAGAUAUCAAGAGGAACACCUGAGGUGAAGACGGGUUGCUGGGCCGACACUGACGCUGAUGCGCGAAAGCCAGGGGAGCAAACGGG
Molecule: ribosomal RNA, 253 nt
Filed under: uncultured bacterium
Lineage: Bacteria
Description: partial 16S ribosomal RNA
Rfam family: Bacterial small subunit ribosomal RNA
Source: RNAcentral